GACGAACGCUGGCGGCGUGCUUAACACAUGCAAGUCGAACGGUAAGGCCCUUCGGGGUACACGAGUGGCGAACGGGUGAGUAACACGUGGGCGAUCUGCCCUGCACUUCGGGAUAAGCCUGGGAAACUGGGUCUAAUACCGGAUAGGACCACUGCCUGCAUGGGUGGUGGUGGAAAGCUUUUGCGGUGUGGGAUGGGCCCGCGGCCUAUCAGCUUGUUGGUGGGGUGAUGGCCGACCAAGGCGACGACGGGUAGCCGGCCUGAGAGGGUGACCGGCCGCACUGGGACUGAGAUACGGCCCAGACUCCUACGGGAGGCAGCAGUGGGGAAUAUUGCACAAUGGGCGCAAGCCUGAUGCAGCGACGCCGCGUGAGGGAUGACGGCCUUCGGGUUGUAAACCUCUUUCAGCACCGACGAAGCGCAAGUGACGGUAGGUGCAGAAGAAGGACCGGCCAACUACGUGCCAGCCGCCGCUGUAA
This 478-nucleotide ribosomal RNA is filed under the name uncultured bacterium. RNAcentral's name for it is "partial 16S ribosomal RNA". It matches the Rfam family "Bacterial small subunit ribosomal RNA", at positions 28 to 523 of the family's 1533-position model. The record is from RNAcentral.